AUUAAAAAANUAUUAAAAAAAAAAAAACAAAUUCCCUUCUCUUCUCCCUCAUGCGACUGCCCCCCCCUCAAUUUUUUCCCUGCUCGUCGCCGAACUCGACCAGCCGCCCGUCCUCCUCAGCCCAUCGUCCAGACUGCCGCUGCCCGAGCCCAGCAGCCGAUCUCCUUCGCGCGUCUCGCCUAACGGUUCCGUCCACGAGUAACGCGUGCCACCACCGGCCCCAACCACGCGAUCUCUCCCUUCUCAGUCGCAUGUCCGCACCUCUCCUCGUCGCCGACUCUACGCACCGUAGUUUCGCAUGCCUUCGCUCACAUCGCGUCGGUCGUCGUCAACUCCCAGCCAUCCGCGGGUUCCAGAUCUAAAGUCAUGUGUGUCUUUCGUCGUUCGUGGGUUCGAUGCCGUUGCUAGAUCUGUCCAGGCGUCCACCGCCGCUUCUUCGUCUACCGCCGCCCAGCCCAUACCGCCGACGCGGUUACCAUCAGAUCUGUUUUGGAAGCUAGAUUCGAAAGAUUUUGGGGACGUUGUUCAUCGAGAAAGAGACCAAUUUUCGACAGAAAUUGUUAAGUUUGGGUUGGCUUUUUGGUUUGAGUUUUAGAAUUUAUUUUGCGGCAAGCCACAACUUUGGGUGGAUUCAAAGCAUUCCAAGAGUUGUAAGAAAGUUAAUUACUUGGAUUAAUUUGUGACCAAAUUUGAGGUAAGUAAUCUUACUACUGGAACUGUCCACGGGUCAGACACUAGAUAUAUGCUAGCAUAAUAGACGAAUAUCAGAACAGAACGAUAGCAUGAUAAACGGAUAGUAUAGUAUGACCGAUAUAUGUUCUUGUAUGAGAAUUUGAAAGAUUUAUUUGUGCACGUACAUACUUGCAUGCUAGUAAGAGAUGAUACUUUAUUCACUGAGGUUGUAUUUGAUAUAAGGAUAUUGAGGCAUAUAUGCAUGUUGUAUAGCCAUGAUGUUGAGGUGUAUAUGUAUGUUAUGAAACCAUGUUGUGAUCAUUGUGAUAUUGAAGUCGUGAUAAUGUCUUUACUGAUUAGUUAGAUGCCCACUAGGUAUUGUGUUUACUUCAGGAUUCACCAAAUUUGUGUUUCCUUCAGGAUUCACCAAAUUGUGUUUCCUUCGGGAUUCACCAGAGAUUGUGUUUCUUCCGGGAUUCACCAGAGAUUGUGUUUCCUUCGGGAUUCUCCAGAUUGUGUUUCCUUC
Molecule: non-coding RNA, 1198 nt
Organism: Benincasa hispida (wax gourd)
Lineage: Eukaryota; Viridiplantae; Streptophyta; Magnoliopsida; Cucurbitales; Cucurbitaceae
Source: RefSeq, a predicted model, not a curated record